Molecule: ribosomal RNA, 305 nt
Filed under: uncultured bacterium
Lineage: Bacteria
Description: bacterial SSU rRNA
Rfam family: Bacterial small subunit ribosomal RNA
Source: RNAcentral
UUGUCCUACGGGACGCAGCAGUGGGGAAUAUUGGGCAAUGGGCGCGAGCCUGACCCAGCAACGCCGCGUGAAGGAAGAAGGCUUUCGGGUUGUAAACUUCUUUUAAGAGGGAAGAGCAGAAGACGGUACCUCUUGAAUAAGCCACGGCUAACUACGUGCCAGCAGCCGCGGUAAUACGUAGGUGGCAAGCGUUGUCCGGAUUUACUGGGUGUAAAGGGAGCGCAGGCGGCACGGCAAGCCUGAUGUGAAAGCCCGCGGCCCAACCGCGGGACUGCAUUGGGAACUACCGGGCUGGAGUGCCGGAG